UACGUAGGGUGCAGGCGUUAAUCGGAAUUACUGGGCGUAAAGCGUGCGCAGGCGGUUUCUUAAGUCAGAUGUGAAAGCCCCGGGCUUAACCUGGGAACUGCGUUUGAAACUGGGAGACUUGAGUAUAGUAGGGGUAGAGGGAAUUUCCAGUGGAGCGGUGAAAUGCGUAGAUAUCUGGAGGAACACCGGUGGCGAAGGCGGCAUCCUGGACCGAUACUGACGCUGAGGAGCGAAAGCCAGGGGAGCAAACGGG
RNAcentral lists this ribosomal RNA (253 nucleotides) under uncultured bacterium. RNAcentral's name for it is "partial 16S ribosomal RNA". It matches the Rfam family "Bacterial small subunit ribosomal RNA", at positions 524 to 776 of the family's 1533-position model. The record is from RNAcentral.